RNAcentral lists this unclassified non-coding RNA (208 nucleotides) under soil metagenome. Its description in RNAcentral is "partial contains 5.8S ribosomal RNA, internal transcribed spacer 2, and large subunit ribosomal RNA". The record is from RNAcentral.
AACCUUAUGGACCUGCGGGCGUAUACCUGCGGAGGGAUCAUUACUGAGUGAGGGCCUUCGGGCUCGACCUCCAACCCUUUGUGAACACAACUUGUUGCUUCGGGGGCGACCCUGCCGUUUCGACGGCGAGCGCCCCCGGAGGCCUUCAAACACUGCAUCUUUGCGUCGGAGUUUAAGUAAAUUAAACAAAACUUUCAGCAACGGAUCU